Molecule: long non-coding RNA, 1045 nt
Filed under: Anas platyrhynchos platyrhynchos (common mallard)
Lineage: Eukaryota; Metazoa; Chordata; Aves; Anseriformes; Anatidae
Description: lncRNA (ENSAPLG00000021633.1)
Source: RNAcentral
UAUGACCAGCUAAUUGAUGGUAUUUAAGAUGUUUAAGAUGGACUUGAAGAAGGCAAGAGAAUUCUACUUCCUCUCUUUUUCAGUGUGGGGAAAAGAACUAUACUAACUCUGCACUAACAAAGUACUUUCCCCCUACUUCCGAGGGCUAAAACUACCACCAGUACACUCAUUACAUAAGGACAACUUAUGUGAAGAGCACAAUUCACUCAUCAUUUUUCUCACAAGACCAGACACAGAACUGGAAAUACAUCUUGUAUCUUUACAAUAACACAUCAAGCAUGAAAAGAUAUAAAGCCAGCCCUCAAAUACCUCCAAAAUUGAAGCUGCAGAGAUAAUGUUCCAGCCCUAAAUACGCAUUAAAUCUAUCCAAAGCUGUUCUGAGUUACACCAGCUGCAAUAUGAGAGUGCUGCAGGAUGCACUCUGUUGCCUGGUCUGCCUGGCAGAAGAACAAGUGGCAGCUAGGCAAAUGGGUAACACAAGAGCUAAGAAUUAACUCUAAUUAAAUAUACCUCCGGUAUAGUAAUGACCUUGGGGUGAUGUUAAACCAGCUAUAAUUUUAUACUGUCUGAAGGGUGCAAACUUGCUUUGAAGUACUACAGCAUCAUGACUAUAUGGAGGGAUUUCCUAAUCUCUUUUACACCCUUGACUGAGGAAAGAACCAUGCAGUGUAGGAGUAUCUACUUUCCAAAGGAGGCAUAGUAAAGAAUGUUUGGUAAACUAGCCUCCCCUCCCUGCAGAGGAAGACACUGUUAGAAAGGGAGAAAAUUAAGAUGCCCAUGAAGGAGAUGAAUGUAUAAGCAAGAGUUUGAGAAGAAUCUCUGGCUUAAAAACUUUUCUUCUGAUUUCAGGUUCUGGAAAAAGUAUUUCACAUUAUUUGACAAGAUACCUCUAAAAAUUUUACUCCGUUUGACUGAAGCUGAUGGAACACACACCUAGCAACCUCCAGGGCAGUACUGAAAACACAUUCCUUUUGUCUUUUCUUGAUCAUUUGACUGACUUUUCAAAUACAUUUACAUUACAUACUGUACAGGUUUUAUAGCAUGU